AGGGUUGUAGUUAAAUAUAACAUUUGGUUUGCAACUAAAAAGUAUUGAAAUAUCAAUUAACCUUA
RNAcentral lists this transfer RNA (65 nucleotides) under Hilethera xinjiangensis. RNAcentral describes it as "tRNA-Ala". It matches the Rfam family "tRNA". Rfam says of the family: Transfer RNA (tRNA) molecules are approximately 80 nucleotides in length. The record is from RNAcentral. Lineage: Eukaryota; Metazoa; Arthropoda; Insecta; Orthoptera; Acrididae.